CCUACGGGUGGCAGCAGUCGAGAAUCAUUCACAAUGGGGGAAACCCUGAUGGAGCGACGCCGCGUGGGGGAAUGAAGGUCUGCGGAUUGUAAACCCCUGUCAUGUGGGAGCAAAUUAAAAAGAUAGUACCACAAGAGGAAGAGACGGCUAACUCUGUGCCAGCAGCCGCGGUAAUACAGAGGUCUCAAGCGUUGUUCGGAGUCACUGGGCGUAAAGCGUGCGUAGGCGGUUUCGUAAGUCGGGUGUGAAAGGCGCGGGCUCAACCCGCGGACGGCACAUGAUACUGCGAGACUAGAGUAAUGGAGGGGGAACCGGAAUUCUCGGUGUAGCAGUGAAAUGCGUAGAUAUCGAGAGGAACACUCGUGGCGAAGGCGGGUUCCUGGACAUUAACUGACGCUGAGGCACGAAGGCCAGGGGAGCGAAAAGGAUUAGAUACCCCAGUAGUC
Molecule: ribosomal RNA, 446 nt
Filed under: uncultured bacterium
Lineage: Bacteria
Description: partial 16S ribosomal RNA
Rfam family: Bacterial small subunit ribosomal RNA
Source: RNAcentral